RNAcentral lists this ribosomal RNA (468 nucleotides) under uncultured bacterium. RNAcentral's name for it is "partial 16S ribosomal RNA". It matches the Rfam family "Bacterial small subunit ribosomal RNA", at positions 28 to 507 of the family's 1533-position model. The record is from RNAcentral.
GACGAACGCUGGCGGCGUGCUUAACACAUGCAAGUCGAACGGAAAGGCCCUGCUUUUGUUGGGGGCUCGAGUGGCGAACGGGUGAGUAACACGUGAGUAACCUGCCCUUGACUUUGGGAUAACUUCAGGAAACUGGGGCUAAUACCGGAUAGGAGCUCCUGCUGCAUGGUGGGGGUUGGAAAGUUUCGGCGGUUGGGGAUGGACUCGCGGCUUAUCAGCUUGUUGGUGGGGUAGUGGCUUACCAAGGCUUUGACGGGUAGCCGGCCUGAGAGGGUGACCGGCCACAUUGGGACUGAGAUACGGCCCAGACUCCUACGGGAGGCAGCAGUGGGGAAUAUUGCACAAUGGGCGGAAGCCUGAUGCAGCAACGCCGCGUGCGGGAUGACGGCCUUCGGGUUGUAAACCGCUUUCGCCUGUGACGAAGCGUGAGUGACGGUAAUGGGUAAAGAAGCACCGGCUAACUACGUG